CCUACGGGGAGCUGCAGUGAGGAAUAUUGGUCAAUGGCCGGAAGGCUGAACCAGCCAUGCCGCGUGAAGGUCAGUGCCCUAUGGGCGUUAAACUUCUUUUGUGCGGGAGCAAUAAUGGUCACGUGUGGCCAGACGAGAGUACCGUACGAAUAAGCAUCGUCUAACUCCGUGCCAGCAGCCGCGGUAAUACGGGGGAUGCAAGCGUUAUCCGGAUUUAUUGGGUUUAAAGGGUGCGUAGGCUGUGAGGUAAGUCAGCGGUGAAAUGCCCCCGCUCAACGGGGUGAAGUGCCAUUGAUACUGGCUGGCUGGAAUGCGGAUGCCGUGGGAGGAAUGUGUGGUGUAGCGGUGAAAUGCAUAGAUAUCACACAGAACACCGAUUGCGAAGGCAUCUCACGAAUCCGCGAUUGACGCUGAUGCACGAAAGCGUGGGUAUCAAACAGGAUUAGAUACCCCGGUAGUC
Molecule: ribosomal RNA, 460 nt
Filed under: uncultured bacterium
Lineage: Bacteria
Description: partial 16S ribosomal RNA
Rfam family: Bacterial small subunit ribosomal RNA
Source: RNAcentral